Molecule: long non-coding RNA, 7987 nt
Organism: Hirundo rustica (Barn swallow)
Lineage: Eukaryota; Metazoa; Chordata; Aves; Passeriformes; Hirundinidae
Exons: 16
Source: RefSeq, a predicted model, not a curated record
UGGUGCCGUUUUAUUUUGUAUGUCCAUGGCCUACAGUAAGGGAUACGGUCUAUUGACUUAAGGUUGUAUUUCUUAGCGGCAGUACGUUUGUUCCGAGCGGAAGUAAAGCUGGGUAUCUGCAGUAAAAGUCAACGGAGGGAGGCGAGCGGCGGACCGAAGCGGCGGUUAUCGCUUAGGUCUCCCUUUCAGGUUUGGAUCCGGCAGCCUGGAAGCAGCCGCAGGCAGAGAGCGUGGGGACGCCCACGGCGCCGAGACGUCGUUUUCCGUCCAGGCCGGAGUUUGUGGGCUCAUCUUCCGAAAGCUAAGUGUCGGGGACGGGGGUGAGGAGAAGAGGAAAAAGGUUUUCAGUGGCAGGAGGCAAUUCAAAGCUAGCUUAGGGCAGAGGGCCCUAGAGGGCCAGAGGCCCGGUAAGUAAAGGUAGAGGAUUCAUCCCGGGCAUCAGCAGAGCUUUUGCCGGGCAGGGCAUUAGCGUCCCCCAUCCGCGUUUUAGGGAGCCGGGCAUCGUAUGCCUGGUUGGAGUCCACAGGGUUAGGGCGCAGCAGGGAGCGGGCAGCCCACACCGGGAUCCCCGUGCCAGGAGCGUCUGCAGUUGUGAGGAGUAGAGUGGAGCAGGAGCACUUGAGAGAGACCCAGUGAGGCUGAGGGAGGGCUUGAGAGGUGAGGGAGUGUCAGGCCAGAGGGCUUGAGAGGUGAGGGAGUGUCAGGCCAGAGAGCAGGAGGUGAAAGUAAGGCGUAGAGGCUAGGAUGCAAAUUUGAGCACAGUUGUAAGAGCCCUGAGAACUGUCCUGUUUCCCCGAGAGCAGGUGCAGGCAGCCAGGCUGUGGCAGGCCAGCGGCAGAAGAGCCAGGAGGGGCAGGCAGGAAGCGUUAGUGGGGAGCAGGGUCCGCAGGGCCGGGUCUAACCGGGGGUUUCCCGCCCCGGCCCACCCUGGGAUCUCCUGUCUCCCCGCAGUCGAGGAUGUCUCCUCCCAUUCCUCGAGGCGGCGGUUGGUAAGGCUUCGUGCCUUUGCCACCGCCAAGAGCGCGGCUCUGUCAGCCUCUGCCCUGUCUCAGGGCCAAAGUUAGUUAGGCUAGGGAGAAACUGUGGAUGACUCGUCCUGCCCGCAGGACAACCUUUGGGACCCUGGAUCAGGAGCAUCCUCGACUGCUAGCAUAGGGCCUUAGAGAAGUAGGGUGAAGCAGGGCACUUGAGAGAGACCCAGCGAGGCUGAGGGAGGGCUCGAGAGGUGAAGGAGCGUCAGGCCAGAGAGCAGGCCAUGAAUGUAAGGUGUAGAGGCUAGGAUGCAAGUUUGAGUGCAGGUGUAUGAGCCCUGAGAACAGUCCUGUUUCCCUGAGAGCAGGUGCAGGCAGCCAGGCUGUGUCAGGGCAGUGGCAGAAGCGCUGAGGGGGCAGGCAGUAGGGCUAGGGCUAGGCAGGAAAUGAGGAGGGGGGGCAGAGUCGACUGGGUUGGGGUUGAGCGUGGGAUGCCCACCCUGGUAUCUCUGUCCUGCUGCAAUCAGGGAUGUCACAGCCCUAGUGGAGGCCAGGGUGGGUGAGUGGGCUUAGCAUCCAUCAUGCCACCAAGACUUUGUCCGUGCAGGUGUCAGGCUGUGAGCGAAGCCAAAGCAAGCCGCCCAAGACUCUGGGCAUUGUUAAGAGAGGGGGAGCCCCAGGAUCAGUGUUUUUUGGCUGAUGUGCUGCCAUGUGCAUGCUUUAAUGUUUGGUUUUCUUUUUUAUAGCUGAGGAAGAGACACCAGGCUGGUGACAGCAGGACUUUCCCAGAGGGCGAGGCGGGAUUCCUUGGCACCGGAUGUGGAUGGCGAUCCCUGGACCUCCCAGAGCUAAGUGGAGGGCUCAAGCUGCAGAGGGCAUGAGAGCAGGGUGCUGGGUUGGGAGUUGCUGGGGGGGGAGGAUUAUUGAGUCUGGUGUGGCUAGGGAGAUGUGCAUCAUGUGAGCGCUUAGGGCACCUGAAGGGCAAGUGUCAUUUUUGCUGGCCAUGCUGAGCUGUGGAGGGCAGAGCAGUCCCGGGCACGUGGUGUCUGUCGUGUGUCGCGCACUCUGCGUGUGUCGGGCAUCUCAUCUUUCACGUCUUUACCCAUAGCCCCCCAGGGGUCCUAUGGGGAGCCCCGGCAUCACUGUUAGCAUUUCUGCUGUCUGCCUUCGUGGCCCCAGCAGCUUUGACGGGAGAGCUGGGACUUGGAUCUGAAUCUUGUGUCCCUUUAGACUCAUCCAGUGCGAUGUCUUUUGAGGUCUUGUUCUGACCUGUACAGAGAGCCGUGCCCCGCCACGAUCCAUUUUGGCGGGUUAGCACUUGUUUAGAAGUCCAAGCUAGGUCUGGGCUUGUGACCGCAGGAGUGUCAGGCAUCCAUCUUUGUGAUUCUUGAAAUGAUUCAUCUUGUUAGCAUCCUCUUUCUGCAGGGUUCUGUGAGCCUGGCCAGCUCACCUUAUUCCUUCCGUUUGUCAUCUCAUUCUGAGUUCUCUUCUUGCGGAGAGCUUUUUGUUGUUGUGGUGUCCCCUGGUUCGUGGUGUCCUGUGUGAUGGAUGUUGUGGUGUCUUUGUCCCGGAGCUGCUCUGCCCUGCCGCAUGGGUGGGUGUAGGGGUAAUAGAAGAAGCCCCUGGGGCCUGAACUGGGUGAUGUCAGGUGGAGUUGUGGUGUGGAGGGCAUUCAUAGGUUGGCAGCACGUGUCUGUCGCCGUCAAGUUCCCGUGCCGCAGUGUGACUUUGUUCCUGUGUGUGUUUCAGAUGCGGAUGGAUUCACUUGAUGGCAGAGGGCCCCAUCCCAGGUGAGGGGGUGUCCCCAGAAGAGGAACUGAAGCGGGAUGUCAUCUGUCAAGGUGAAGCGGAGCAGGAGAUGUCACUUUCCACGGAGCUGCCCUCAGCAAGCAGAGGAUGGAUGCGGUUUGCCUGUCUCCUGAGACCCGUGGGGAGCAGAAGAGGAGUGUGUGAUGAAGCCUUGCUAUUUUCCAUUUGAAGGUGCCAUCCAGCCAGGUCCACCCCGUGACGACGGCAGGGGGCUCGGAGCGCGGCCGAGGCGUGCGGGGCGAGGACGUAGGUAUUCUUAGGAGACGCUGAGGAAGAGACACCAGCCCAGUGGGAGCUGAGGUCCACCCCGUGACGACGGCAGGGGGCUCGGAGCGCGGCCGAGGCGUGCGGGGCGAGGACGUAGGUAUUCUUAGGCGACGCUGAGGAAGAGACACCAGCCCAGUGGGAGCUGAGCCAGGUCCACCCCAUGAUGACGGCAGGGGGCUCGGAGCGCGGCCGAGGCGUGCGGGGCGAGGACGUAGGUAUUCUUAGGAGACGGUGAGUGUCCUAAUGGUGAGGUUUUGGUCCAUGUGCUGCCACGUGCAUGCUUUGAUGUUUGGUUUUGUUUGUUGUAGCUGAGGAAGAGACACCAGCCCAGUGGGAGCUGAGGUCCACCCCAUGAUGACGGCAGGGGGCUCGGAGCGCGGCCGAGGCGUGCGGGGCGAGGACGUAGGUAUUCUUAGGAGACGCUGAGGAAGAGACACCAGGCCGGUGGUGGCAGGACUUUCCCAGAGGGCGAGGCGGUGUUCCUUGGCACUGAUGCGGAUGGUGAUCACCGGACCUCCCAGAGCUAAGUGGAGGGCUCGAGGCACAGAGGGGAUGAGAGCAGGGUGCUGGGUUGGGAGUUGCUGGGGGGGAUUGAGUUCAGUAUGGAUCUGGAGAUGUGCAGGAUGUGAGUGCUUAGGGCACAUGAAAGGCAAGUGUCAUUUCUGAUUGUAAUGCUGAGACGGGCAGAGCAGUCCCGGGCACGUGGUGUCUGUUGUCCACUCUGUGUGUGUCAGGCAUCUCAUCUUUCACGUCUUUUCCCAUAGGUCCUCAAGGGGCCUGUGGGGAACCCUGGGAUCACUGUUAGCAUUUCUGAUGUCUGCCUUCCUGGCUCCAGUGGCUUUGACUGGAGAGCUGGGACUUAGAUCUGAACCUCAUCUCUGUUCAGAGUCAUCCAGUGCGAUGUCUUUUGUGGUCUUGUUCUGAGCUGUACAGACAGCCGUGCCCCGCCACGAUCCAUUUUGGCGGAUUAGGACUUGUUUAGAAGUCCAAGCUAGGUCUUGGCUUGUGAGCGGAGGAGCGUCGGGCAUCCAUCUUUGUGAUUCUUGAAGUGAUUCAUCUUGUUAGCAUCCUCUUCUUGUAGGGUUCUGUGAGCCUGGCCAGCUCACCUUGUUUCUUCCGUUUGUCAUCUCAUUCUGCGUUCUCUCGGUCCUCCCGGUCGUUCUUCUUGCGGAGAGCUUUUUGUUGUUGUGGCGUCCCCUGGUUUGUGGUGUCCGAUGUGACGGGUGUUGGUGUGGCUUUGUCCCGGAGCUGCUCUGUCCUGCCGCAUGGGUGGGUGUAGGGGUAAUAGAAGAAGCCCCUGGGGCCUGAACUGGGUGAUGUCAGGUGGAGUUGUGGUGUGGAGGGCAUUCAUAGGUUGGCAGCACGUGUCUGUCGCUGUCAAGUUCCCGUGCCGCAGUGUGACUUUGUUCCUGUGUGUGUUUCAGAUGCGGAUGCAUUCACUUGAUUGCAGAGGGCCCCAUCCCAGGUGAGGGGGUGUCCCCAGAAGAGGAACUGAAGCGGGAUGUCAUCUGUCAAGGUGAAGCGGAGCAGGAGAUGUCACUUUCCACGGAGCUGCCCUCAGCAAGCAGAGGAUGGAUGCGGUUUGCCUGUCUCCUGAGACCUGUGGGGAGCAGAAGAGGAGUGUGUGAUGAAGCCUUGCUAUUUUCCAUUUGAAGGUGCCAUCCAGGUCUACCCCAUGAUGACGGCAGGGGGCUCGGAGCGCGGCCGAGGCGUGCGGGGCGAGGACGUAGGUAUUCUUAGGAGACGCUGAGGAAGAGACACCAGGCCGGUGGUGGCAGGACUUUCCCAGAGGGCGAGGCGGUGUUCCUUGGCACUGAUGCGGAUGGUGAUCACCGGACCUCCCAGAGCUAAGUGGAGGGCUCGAGGCACAGAGGGGAUGAGAGCAGGGUGCUGGGUUGGGAGUUGCUGGGGGGGAUUGAGUUCAGUAUGGAUCUGGAGAUGUGCAGGAUGUGAGUGCUUAGGGCACAUGAAAGGCAAGUGUCAUUUCUGAUUGUAAUGCUGAGACAGGCAGGGCAGAGCAGUCCCGGGCACGUGGUGUCUGUUGUCCACUCUGUGUGUGUCAGGCAUCUCAUCUUUCACGUCUUUUCCCAUAGGUCCUCAAGGGGCCUGUGGGGAACCCUGGGAUCACUGUUAGCAUUUCUGAUGUCUGCCUUCCUGGCUCCAGUGGCUUUGACUGGAGAGCUGGGACUUAGAUCUGAACCUCAUCUCUGUUCAGAGUCAUCCAGUGCGAUGUCUUUUGUGGUCUUGUUCUGAGCUGUACAGACAGCCGUGCCCCGCCACGAUCCAUUUUGACGGAUUAGGACUUGUUUAGAAGUCCAAGCUAGGUCUUGGCUUGUGAGCGGAGGAGCGUCGGGCAUCCAUCUUUGUGAUUCUUGAAGUGAUUCAUCUUGUUAGCAUCCUCUUCUUGUAGGGUUCUGUGAGCCUGGCCAGCUCACCUUGUUUCUUCCGUUUGUCAUCUCAUUCUGCGUUCUCUCGGUCCUCCCGGUCGUUCUUCUUGCGGAGAGCUUUUUGUUGUUGUGGCGUCCCCUGGUUUGUGGUGUCCGAUGUGACGGGUGUUGGUGUGGCUUUGUCCCGGAGCUGCUCUGUCCUGCCGCAUGGGUGGGUGUAGGGGUAAUAGAAGAAGCCCCUGGGGCCUGAACUGGGUGAUGUCAGGUGGAGUUGUGGUGUGGAGGGCAUUCGUCGGUUGGCAGCACGUGUCUGUCGCUGUCAAAUUCCCGUGCUGCAGCGUGACUAUUUUCCUGACUUUGUUUCAGAUGCAGAUGGAUUCAAUCCGUGGCAGAGUGCCUCAUCCUGGGUGAGGGGGUUCCUCUGUGAAGGUGUAAGUCACUGUCUUAGCUGGGGUAGUGUAAAUAAUGACUGUGUAAGAGUUCUUUUUUUCUCUUUACUUUCAGGAAGUGAUGGUAGAUGUCAGCUCUCAAGGUGAAGUGGAGCAGGUGAACUGUGAUUGUUGGAGAGAAGCAGUUGCUAUUGCUGAAGUCUUACUUGAUCAUGCAUGUCUAAGCAUCCCCUUUUGUGUUUUAUGGGGUCUGCUUGCAUGACACCAUUCUGUCACAAACCAGGUGCUGGUUUCUGUUUGGAAUUUUAGCUGGCUGCCAUCCCUUUGCUGGCCCAUGGCCUUAGACAGAAGCAGUGUCCCUUCUCCAUGGGCAUGCCGAUUCACCCUCCCCUGUUCCUGAUGUGAUUUUGUAGGAGGCAUUUGGUACUCCAAGUUAGACAUGUAAGUGUUGUCUCUGCCAGCUUUUGCCAGCCCUGUAAGCCUGCUUCCCUUCCCUUUCUGCAGCAUGUGUCUGUCCUGGUCUUAGAAUUUGUGCAUGCUUUGCAACGGAAUGUUUCAUUUAGCAUCAAUCAUGGACAUUGCUGAGCAAUUGUGUCUGUGUCUUCUUUCAUUCAUGAACUCUUCACCACUCGAUGGGGACUCUCCCAGACAUUUUAUGAUUGAAAUCCGUUCACCCGUGAGUGAAGAACACAAAGGGCAAGAGGUUUUCUGCCUGUCCUGUUUUUUUUAAGGUGUAGGUGAAAUCUAAGCUCCAGUACCCUCUGCCGUGCAGCUCCUUUGGCCUAUCCCACGGUCCAUGAAGUAAGCACGUAUAAAAGCUGGGCCAAGUUUCCCUGCACAGUUUUAGUUUGUCUGUUGCAGCCCUGAGCAGGUGUCUAAAAUAAGUAAAAACCCCCUGGUGCCUCCGUCUCCCCCCUAGGCAGGGAUGCAGGGGCAGCAGCACCCCUGAAACGAUGUCCCAAACAGAGAGCCUUCCCAGGCCCUUGGAGAAGAGCUGAAGGGGUAAGAAGAGAGGGCAGGAAAGCCUUGGUACCUUCCGUGAGAGCGCCUGUGUCCCUGUGCCCUGCAAAAGCAGCAAGGGCCAGCAUCCCUGUGAUUUUGAGAUGAGGCCAAGGGAAACGUGCGGCACCGUGGGUUCUUUGUGUAGUCGGUCGUUUUCCCGUUUCCCCAUUGGUCCCUUUUGGAUCCUUGCUCCGAUUGGUCGUUUUGAAAUUCAUUCACCCCAUUGGUGUGAGUGUCAAAGCCACCUCGUUCCCUGUGAAAGGGGGUUGUGGGAGGUCAGUUGGGCGUGGGUUCCAGAGCGUGCGCCGCCUGAAGAGACCUCGCCGUGAGGAAGCAGCCGAGCCGAGCCGAUGGAGCAGCCGUGCCUGUAGGCGCUCGGACAGCCUCGUGGCUGAGUUGCCGCGGCAGCUCUCCUAAAAGAGCGAUCACUAGGGUGAUCGGUGUCCCUCCGGAGCAGAGGGCGCCUUUAUCAAGGCGACCGGCUGCUGCAUGGUCGCAGCACUCGAAGAGGCUCCGCAGCCGGGCUGGAGCGGGGAGCGGGCGCGGCCCGUAGGACCAGAACUUUGUGUGAGGCAGCAGCAGCAUCGCGGGAGAGUGAACAGAGGAUGCAAGAGGAGCCAAGUGUGCUUUGAGAGUUUCCUUCUGUUUUGUGUCCCAAGCUUUUUUCCUAUUCCUUUAGGAGGUGUUAAUAAAAUUAUUCUUUUUCCACACGGACCUUCCCUUCACGCUCGCCCCCCAACCUCUGGAGACGCCUCACGCACACAGUCACCUUCUGCUGCCCCUGAUUCCCGGCCGCCACACCCGCGGGAGCACGGAACCGCAAUACUACAGAGUCCCCUCUUGCUUCUGGCAUCCAGCUGUGCUGGUCCCGGUCUCAGACACACACACAUUCGCUCGUCUCCACGCCUGCCACUGCACACUCACCAGUGCUCCUCCGGUGUGCUGUCCUCUGCUCCGGGCGUGUCUUCUGCCCCCGAGUCCCCAGCUGGACCAGGUGGGCAAGGAGAGAAUCUCCUUUAGAAGCGCCUUUAAUAUCAGCUCUUUUUGUGAGGGGGGGCCUCGGGGGACUCACUGCUGCCGCCGCUGCUGCCGCCGCCUCUGCGUCCCUCGUGGUUCCUCUUCUGGGGGCGGCUCACCUCUCACGAGUCCCCAGCUCCAAGUA